GAUGAACGCUGACAGAAUGCUUAACACAUGCAAGUCAACUUGAACUUCGGUUUGGGUGGCGGACGGGUGAGUAACGCGUAAAGAACUUGCCUCACAGAUAGGGACAACAUUUGGAAACGAAUGCUAAUACCUGAUAUUAUGAUUUUAGGGCAUCCUAGGAUUAUGAAAGCUAUAUGCGCUGUGAGAGAGCUUUGCGUCCCAUUAGCUAGUUGGAGAGGUAACGGCUCACCAAGGCGAUGAUGGGUAGCCGGCCUGAGAGGGUGAUCGGCCACAAGGGGACUGAGACACGGCCCUUACUCCUACGGGAGGCAGCAGUGGGGAAUAUUGGACAAUGGACCAAAAGUCUGAUCCAGCAAUUCUGUGUGCACGAUGAAGUUUUUCGGAAUGUAAAGUGCUUUCAGUUGGGAAGAAAAAAAUGACGGUACCAACAGAAGAAGUGACGGCUAAAUACGUG
RNAcentral lists this ribosomal RNA (454 nucleotides) under uncultured bacterium. Its description in RNAcentral is "partial 16S ribosomal RNA". It matches the Rfam family "Bacterial small subunit ribosomal RNA", at positions 28 to 507 of the family's 1533-position model. The record is from RNAcentral.